This 350-nucleotide ribosomal RNA is filed under the name uncultured bacterium. RNAcentral describes it as "bacterial SSU rRNA". It matches the Rfam family "Bacterial small subunit ribosomal RNA", at positions 8 to 353 of the family's 1533-position model. The record is from RNAcentral.
AGAGUUUGAUCCUGGCUCAGAUUGAACGCUGGCGGCAUGCUUUACACAUGCAAGUCGAACGGCAGCACAGGGAGGCUUGCUCCCGGGUGGCGAGUGGCGCACGGGUGAGUAGUACAUCGGAACGUGUCCUGUUGUGGGGGAUAACUGCUCGAAAGGGUGGCUAAUACCGCAUGAGACCUGAGGGUGAAAGCGGGGGAUCGCAAGACCUCGCGCAAUUGGAGCGGCCGAUGCCCGAUUAGCUAGUUGGUGAGGUAAAGGCUCACCAAGGGCGACGAUCGGUAGCUGGUCUGAGAGGACGACCAGCCACCACUGGGACUGAGACACGGCCCAGACUCCUACGGGAGGCAGCA